UACGUAGGAGGCGAGCGUUGUCCGGAGUUACUGGGCGUAAAGCGCAUGCAGGCGGUCAUGUGAGUCUGUGAUGACAGUUCCCGGCUUAACUGGGAAAGUGUUAUGGAUACUGCAUGACUUGAGGACUUUAGAGGGAUGUGGAACUCCGGGUGGAGUGGUGAAAUGCGUAGAUAUCCGGAAGAACACCAAAGGCGAAGGCAGCAUCCUGGGAAGGACCUGACGCUCAGAUGCGAAAGCCAGGGGAG
Molecule: ribosomal RNA, 245 nt
Filed under: uncultured bacterium
Lineage: Bacteria
Description: partial 16S ribosomal RNA
Rfam family: Bacterial small subunit ribosomal RNA
Source: RNAcentral